CGGCCCCAUGUCAGGAGGGAUUACCCGCUGAGUUUAGGCAUAUCAAUAAGCGAAGGAAAAGAAACUUACACCGAUUCCCCUAGUAACGAAGAGCAAAUUGGGAACAUCCCAGCCUUAGAAUUGGGCGGCUCCGUCGUCCGAAUGGUAGUCUGGAGAAGCAUCCUCAAAGGCAGACCGGGCCCAGUCCCCUAGAAGAGGUCCUAAAGAAGGUGAGAUCCCCGUCGAGCCCGGACCCUGUCGCAUUACGAGGCUUUGUCUACGAGUAGGGUUGUUUUGGAAUGCAGCCCAAAUCGGGCAGUGAAUUUCGUCCAAGGAUAAAUACUGGCGAGAGACCGAUAGCGAAAAAAUACCGCGAGGGAAAGAUGAAAAGGACAUUGAAAAGAGAGUCGAACAGUGCUUGAAAUUGUUGGAAGGGAAGCGGAUGGGGGCCGGCGAUGCGCCACGGUCGGAUGUUGAAUGGUGACGAGCCAGUCCGCCGAUCGACUCAAGGCAUGGACCAGCGUGGAUUAUGGGGGAGGCCAAAGCCUGGGCUCUCGAUACGCCCGCGGAACGCCGUCUCCCCGAUUAGGGAAGGCAGCGCGCGCCUCCGGUGUGCUCGGCAUCUGCGCGCUCUGGACUCUUGCUUGUGGGCUUCCCAUUCAACCCGUCUUGAAAGACGGACCAAGGAGUCUGACAUGUGUACUAGUCAACGAGCGAGUAAACCCGUAAGGCGUAAGGAAGCUAAUUGGUUGGAUCCCCUGAGGGGUGCACCGUUGACCGACCUUAAUCUUCUGAGAAGUUUUUGAGUGUGAGCAUACUUGUCGGGACCCAAAAGAUGGUGAACUAUGCCUGAGCGGGGCGAAGCCAGAGGAAACUCUGGUGGAGGCCCGCAGCGAUACUGACGUGCAAAUCGAUCAUCUGAGUUGGGAAUAGGGGCGAAAGACUGAUCGAACCGUCUAGUAGCUGGUUCCAUCCGAAGUUUCCCUGAGGAUAGCUGGAGCUCGUGUGUAAGUUCUAUCGGGUAAAGCCAAUGAUUAGAGUCCUUGGGGGAGCAACGCCCUCGACCUAUUCUCAAACUUUAAAUAGGUAGGACGGUGUGGCUGCUUUGUUGAGCCGCGCCACGGAAUCAAGAGCUCCAAGUGGGCUAUUUUUGGUAUGCAGAACUGGCGACGCGGGAUGAACCAGAAGCUGAGUUACGGUGCCAAACUGCGCGCUAACCUAGAUCCCACAAAGGGUGUUGGUUGAUUAAGACAGCAGGACAGUGGUCAUGGAAGUCGAAAUCCGCUAUGGAGUGUGUAACAACUCACCUGCCGAAUCAACUAGCCCCGAAAAUGGAUGGCGUUUAAGCGCGCGACCUACACUCGGCCGUCGGGGCAAGUGCUAGGCCCCGAUGAGUAGGAGGGCGCGGCGGGUCGGCCGUCGUCAAGCGUGGCAUUCCAUCAUAGCCCUUGGAAAAUAGACACGGUCGGACGACGUCGGGCGUGGCAUGCCAUCAUCGCCUUUGGACUAGCAGACACAGUCGGACAACAUCAGGCAUCGUAUGCCAUCGUCGCCUUUGGACUAGCUGACACGGUCGGACGACGUCGGGCGUGGCAUGCCAUCUUCGCCCUUGGGCAGCACAGACGGUCAGAAGGCGUCGGGCGUGGCAUGCCAUAAUCGCCCUUGGACAGCACAGACAGUCGUCCUACGUCGGGCGUGGCAUGCCGUCAUAGCCCUUGGACAGCACAAACGGUCGGUCGUCGUCGGACGUGCCUACACAGAACGGUUGACCGUGGCCGUCCCGCAUAGAUCGUGGCUUGCGCAACAUUGUUCGAUAACUAGACGAAACAUGCGUAUGUUCAUGACGUACAUGAAUCAAAGGAUUUUGAAACAACCCCCAUGCAUAACAAACAUAUUCAUCAAUUUUUUUAUCUAUUCUCUAACGGUUCCACCUAACGUGGCUCUUUCGCAUCAUUUUCAUUACUUCUACGGUUCGUACGAUAUUGAAACAUCUUUUAUUUGUGCAAAUAUGUAUCUUAUCAUUAAUUUGACAUGAUUAGAAGUGUUUUCGAGCAUUUCCGUAUUUUUCCAACUUUUAAGCAUUAUUUUAUAAUUUAUUUUUACGCUUUUUUAAAUUUUUUACGUCUCCUUUUAAAAAUAAAAACUUAUUAAAUUUUUUAUUUUAAGGUUCCCAUAUUUAUUUGUGAAUUUUCGGAGUUCAUUACAUAUUUUAUUCGAUAUUUUCCCUAUUUUUUAUUAAUUUAUAACUAAUUUUUCGGAAAUUUUGAAAAAAAUAAAAAAAUGUUAAAAAAUAUUUUAUAUAUAUAUAUUAAAGUCAUUUGUGAAAGCAUAUGUGUGUUUGUACCUUAGAACGUGCAUAUUUGGGUUGUACAUUUCUAUUAUGAUUCUCUGGAAAAUCAAUGUCUACUCCUGUUAUAUGGGUAAAACUUUUUUAAGCAUAUAUAAAAGGGGUAGAGGUGUUAGAUGCAGACUGAGGCGUAGGAAGGCAGACGGCAUAGGCGUCCCUUGGGCUUAGUAGGCGUGCUGCGUGGUCGCUUGAUGGCAUGCAUGGCUUGUCCAUGCUACGCCGUUGGGCGUUUACAAAAACACAUCGGCGACGUCUGCAGGGCGAUUGAGGCGGUGGCAGGCGGACGUCAUGGGCGUCCUGUGGGCUUAGUAGGCGUGUUGUUUGGGGCUUUAUGGCAUGCAUGUCUCAUUUAUGCUACGCCGUUGGGCGUCUACAAAAACAUGCUAGUGACGUUUGCGGGGCGGCUGAGGCGAAGGCAGGCGAACGUCAAGGGCGUCCUGUGGGCUUAGUAGGCAUGCUGUGUGGGCACUUGACGGCAUGCAUGGCUCGUCGGUGCUACGCUGUUGGGCGUUUACAAAAUACAUGCCCGUGACGUCUGCAGGGCGUUUUAGGCGGUGGUAGGCAAACGUCAUGGGCAUCCUUUGGGCUUAGUAGGCGUGCUGCGUGGGCGCUUGAAGGCAUGCAUGGCUUGUCCAUGCUACGCUGUUGGCCAUUUACAAAAACAUGUCCGCGACGUCUGCAGGGCGAUUGAGGCGGUGGCAGGCGGACAUCAUGGGCGUCCUUUGGGCUUAGUAGGCGUGCUACAUGGGCGCUUGACGACAUGCUUGGCUUGUCCGUGCUAUGCCGUUGGGUGUCAACAAAAACAUGCCAGCGACGUCUGCGGGGCAACUGAGGCGAAAGUAGGCGGACGUCAAGGGUGUGCUGAGGGCUUAGUAGGCGUGUUGUGUUGGCGCUUGACAACAUGGAUUGCUCGUCCGUGCUUCGCCGUUGGGCGCUUACAAAAACACGCUACCGAUGUCUGCGGGGAGACCGUGCUCCGCCGAGGGAACUUCUCAAGAUCGGUUUAUACUAGCGUUUGGUGUGGAAACGACAGUGCUUUCGGGCGAGUGGCGAGUUCUAGAUCUCCUGUUACAGCUAACUCUAGGCGUCGCACGCACGGCGCACGUAAGGCCAUAUACGGCCACAGGGCUGUCCAGAGACGUCGACGGGAGCCUCGGGAAGAGUUAUAUUUUAUGUUUAACAGCCUGCCCACCAUGGAAUCGGCUCAGCCAAAUGUAGGGUCCAGCUGCUGGAAGAGCACCGCACGUCGCGUGGUAUACAGUGUGCUCAGGGUGGCCCUUGAAAAUCUGGAGGACCGAAUGUCGUCCACGCCUGGUCGUACUCCUAACCGCAUUAGGUCUCCAAGGUGAACAACCUCUGGUCGAUGGAACAAUGUAGGAAAGGGAAGUCUGCAAAGUGGAUCCGUAACUUCGGGAAAAGGAUUUGCUCUGAGGGAUGGGCACGUGGAUCCCAGUCCCGAGCUGCUCCCACGGCGAGAGCGCGUCACCGCGUGCGGGAUUGGGGACGUACAAGGAACGGUUCCUUCGGGGGCCUUCCCCGGGCAUCGAACAGCCAACUCAGAACUGGUACGGACAAGGGGAAUCGCACUCUUUAAUUAAAACAAAGCAUUGCGAUGGUCCCAACGAAUGUUUAUGCAAUGUGAUUUCUGCCCAGUGCUCUGAAUGUCAAAGUGAAGAAAUUCAACAAAGUGCGGCUAAACGGCAGGAGUAACUAUGACUCUCUUAAAGUAGCCAAAUGCCUCGUCAUCUUAUUAUUGACGCGCAUGAAUGGAUUAACGAGAUUCCCUCUGUGCCUGUCUACUAUCCAGCGAAACCACAACCAAUAGAAUGGGCUUAGCAGAAUCAGCGGGGAAAGAAGACCCUUUUGAGCUUGACUCUAGUCCGACUUUGUCAAAUGACUUGAGAGGUGUAGUAUAAGUGGGAGCCGAAAGGCGUAAGUGAAAUACCACUACUUUUAAUGUUAUUUUACUUAUUCCGUGAAUCAGAAGCGUGGCACAACCCCUCUUUUUGGACCCAAGCCUCGCUUUGCGGGCCGAUCCGGGAAGAGACAUUGUCAGGUGGGGAGUUUUGCUAGGGCAGCAUAUCUGUUAAAAGAUAACGCAGGUGUCCUAAGAUGAGCUCAACAAGAAAAGAAAUCUCGUGUGUAAGAGAAAGGUAAAAGCUCGUUUGAUUCUGAUUUCCAGUACGAAUACGAAUCGUGAAAGCGUGGCCUAACGAUCCUUUAGACCUUUGGAAUUCGAAGCUAGAGCUUUCAGAAAAGUUACCACAGGGAUAAUUGGCUUGUGGCAGCCAAGCGUUAACAGCGACGUUGCUUUUUCAUCCUUCGAUGUCGGCUCUUUUGGUCACUGUGAAGCAUAAUUCACCAAAUGUUUGAUUGUUCACCCACCAAUAGGGAACGUGAGCUGGGUUUAGACCGUCGUGAGACAGGAUAGUUUUACCUUUGAAAAGCCAGUGGCGCGAAGCUACCGUGUGCUGGAUUAUGACUGAACGCCUCUAAAUCAGAAUGCGGACUAGAAGCGACGCAUGCGCCCGCCGUCCGCUUGCGGACCCGCAUUAGGGGCCUAUGGCCCCCAAGGGCACGUGUCGUUUUCUAAGUCGCCGCAACAUAAGCGUCGCGGUGACCGCCUUGAAGUACAAUUUCCAUGGAGCAGCGGAUAGAAUCCUUUGCAGAUGACAUAAAUACGCGACGGGGUAUUGUAAGUGGCAUAGUGGCCUUACUGCCACGAUCCACUGAGAUUCAGCCCUUUGCCGCUCCUAUUCGU
This 5087-nucleotide ribosomal RNA is filed under the name Solanum lycopersicum (tomato). RNAcentral's name for it is "Eukaryotic large subunit ribosomal RNA". It matches the Rfam family "Eukaryotic large subunit ribosomal RNA". The record is from Rfam by way of RNAcentral. Lineage: Eukaryota; Viridiplantae; Streptophyta; Magnoliopsida; Solanales; Solanaceae.